RNAcentral lists this ribosomal RNA (462 nucleotides) under uncultured bacterium. RNAcentral describes it as "partial 16S ribosomal RNA". It matches the Rfam family "Bacterial small subunit ribosomal RNA", at positions 28 to 506 of the family's 1533-position model. The record is from RNAcentral.
GACGAACGCUGGCGGCGUGCUUAACACAUGCAAGUCGAACGGAAAGGCCUUUUCGGAGGUACUCGAGCGGCGAACGGGUGAGUAACACGUGGGUGAUCUGCCCUGCACUCUGGGAUAAGCCUGGGAAACUGGGUCUAAUACCGGAUAGGACCGCACUUUAGUGUGUGUGGUGGAAAGUUUUUUCGGUGUAGGAUGAGCCCGCGGCCUAUCAGCUUGUUGGUGGGGUAAUGGCCUACCAAGGCGGCGACGGGUAGCCGGACUGAGAGGUUGGUCGGCCACAUUGGGACUGAGAUACGGCCCAGACUCCUACGGGAGGCAGCAGUGGGGAAUAUUGCACAAUGGGCGCAAGCCUGAUGCAGCGACGCCGCGUGGGGGAUGACGGCCUUCGGGUUGUAAACUCCUUUCGCCAGGGACGAAGCGUUUUGUGACGGUACCUGGAGAAGAAGCACCGGCUAACUACGU